This 253-nucleotide ribosomal RNA is filed under the name uncultured bacterium. Its description in RNAcentral is "partial 16S ribosomal RNA". It matches the Rfam family "Bacterial small subunit ribosomal RNA", at positions 524 to 776 of the family's 1533-position model. The record is from RNAcentral.
UACGAAGGGGGCUAGCGUUGCUCGGAAUCACUGGGCGUAAAGCGCACGUAGGCGGAUCUUUAAGUCAGGGGUGAAAUCCUGGAGCUCAACUCCAGAACUGCCUUUGAUACUGGGGAUCUCGAGUCCGGGAGAGGUGAGUGGAACCCCGAGUGUAGAGGUGAAAUUCGUAGAUAUUCGCAAGAACACCAGUGGCGAAGGCGGCUCACUGGCCCGGUACUGACGCUGAGGUGCGAAAGCGUGGGGAGCAAACAGG